This 432-nucleotide ribosomal RNA is filed under the name uncultured soil bacterium. RNAcentral's name for it is "bacterial SSU rRNA". It matches the Rfam family "Bacterial small subunit ribosomal RNA", at positions 949 to 1379 of the family's 1533-position model. The record is from RNAcentral.
AUCCGUCGAGCACGCGUAGCACUUACCUGGUCUUGACAUCCACGGAAGUUUUCAGAGAUGAGAAUGUGCCUUCGGGAACCGUGAGACAGGUGCUGCAUGGCUGUCGUCAGCUCGUGUUGUGAAAUGUUGGGUUAAGUCCCGCAACGAGCGCAACCCUUAUCCUUUGUUGCCAGCGGUCCGGCCGGGAACUCAAAGGAGACUGCCAGUGAUAAACUGGAGGAAGGUGGGGAUGACGUCAAGUCAUCAUGGCCCUUACGACCAGGGCUACACACGUGCUACAAUGGCGCAUACAAAGAGAAGCGACCUCGCGAGAGCAAGCGGACCUCAUAAAGUGCGUCGUAGUCCGGAUUGGAGUCUGCAACUCGACUCCAUGAAGUCGGAAUCGCUAGUAAUCGUGGAUCAGAAUGCCACGGUGAAUACGUUCCCGGGCAA